CGAAGUAUAGCUUCAACACAAAGCAUCCCACUUACACUGGGAAGAUGUCUAAAACAGACUACCUCGA
Molecule: transfer RNA, 67 nt
Filed under: Batrachomoeus trispinosus (three-spined frogfish)
Lineage: Eukaryota; Metazoa; Chordata; Actinopteri; Batrachoidiformes; Batrachoididae
Description: tRNA-Val
Source: RNAcentral